This 409-nucleotide long non-coding RNA is filed under the name Gossypium barbadense (sea-island cotton). Its description in RNAcentral is "long non-coding RNA (GBAR_LNC012824)". Lineage: Eukaryota; Viridiplantae; Streptophyta; Magnoliopsida; Malvales; Malvaceae. The record is from RNAcentral.
GGUUUGCUCUGUUCUGUUCUUUUUUUUUGCUUUUCUUCUCUAUGAUUCUUGUUUAUAGCAGAGAAAUAACUGUUUGUCUUAUUGUUACUGCUAGUGGAUGUUCAUUAAUUUAUUGAUUUCGGUUCCUCCCUAAUGCUUUAUAGUUCAUAUUUAGUUCAUCUGUGCCUUUUUUAUGGUUCUAUGUUUUGUUGACCUAGUUUAGGAUAUGGAUUAAAUUUGGGAUAUCUUCACAUUUGGUGGUCUUUGUUGAUGCUAUUCUGCACUGAACCAAUCUAUCUCUAUGUUGCUUGAUUUGCUUUGUCUAAACCCUAUACCAGUGGUUGCAGGUUGAUAGGCCACUUGGCUUAAUUACUUACUGCUUGUUGUUCCUCCUGAUUACUAUAUUUGCUUGUAAUUUCUGGUUCUUGCU